UAUUCUGCACUCACUUCCAAAAUCAGUGCUCUUACUCUUUCCUUUUGUCUCCACAGAAGCUCUGAUAGGGUUUGGGUCUUACUCGUCUUCGCAAUAGCUCAACUCCAUUUUUCAGUCCACCUUACGAAUUUGCUUCGGGAGCUGUUGUACUCAUUUGCUUAAGUGUCAAAGAACUCUGCUCGCUCUUUCCAGGAAUAUCUAGCUUUCGAAGAAGGUUUUAUGGUUGAAUGGGGAUCAAAAUUGUCAUUUGGGAUGAACUACUUUACAGAUCCAAUGGUGAAUGUUUUUUAUAUGGAGUUUGAGGAAGGGUUGAUUAGUAACAAAUUGUUUUGUAUAUCGUUUGAUUUUGAAGAGUUCUAUGAUCUAGAUGACGUGCAUUAUAUAUGUACUCUAUUUUGGGGAGAUUGAUAUUUCCGAUUAAGGAUUUUUAAUAUGGGUUGGGAUGAAAUACGAUAUCCCUGCUUAGCAAGUGUUGUUGUUGUUGAGGAAAAUUUGGUAUGGUCUUGAUUUUUGUCUUCAUUGAGGGUGAA
Long non-coding RNA from Vigna unguiculata (cowpea), 530 nucleotides. The record is from RefSeq and is a predicted model, not a curated record. NCBI's taxonomy places the organism in Eukaryota, Viridiplantae, Streptophyta, Magnoliopsida, Fabales, Fabaceae.